RNAcentral lists this ribosomal RNA (403 nucleotides) under uncultured bacterium. RNAcentral describes it as "partial 16S ribosomal RNA". It matches the Rfam family "Bacterial small subunit ribosomal RNA", at positions 30 to 526 of the family's 1533-position model. The record is from RNAcentral.
AUUGAACGCUGGCGGCAGGCCUAACACAUGCAAGUCGAGCGAGCGGCGGACGGGUGAGUAAUGUAUGGGGACUGCCCGAUAGAGGGGGAGAACAACUGGAAAAGGUAGCUAAUACCGCAUACUAUAGGAUAACCCAUAUGGGAUUAGCUAGUUGGUGAGGUAAUGGCCCACCAAGGCGACGAUCCCCAGCGGGUCUGAGAGGAUGAUCAGCCACACUGGGACUGAGACACGGCCCAGACUCCUACGGAGGCAGCAGUGGGGAAUAUUGCACAAUGGGCGCAAGCCUGAUGCAGCCAUGCCGCGUGUAUGAAGAAGGCCUUAGGGUUGUAAAGUACUUUCAGUCGGGAGGCGUUACCGACAGAAGAAGCACCGGCUAACUCCGUGCCAGCAGCCGCGGUAAUUC